GGUCAAAUCAUCAUGCCUCUUACAUCUAGGGCUACAGGCGUGCUACAAUGGCUGAUACAACGAGUCGCAACACAGUGAUGUGAAGCUAAUCUCUUAAAGUCAGUCUCAGUUCGGAUUGAAGUCUGCAACUCGACUUCAUGAAGUUGGAAUCGCUAGUAAUCCCGAAUCAGAAUGUCGGGGUGAAUACGUUCUCGGGUGUU
This 200-nucleotide ribosomal RNA is filed under the name uncultured prokaryote. RNAcentral describes it as "partial 16S ribosomal RNA". It matches the Rfam family "Bacterial small subunit ribosomal RNA", at positions 1183 to 1382 of the family's 1533-position model. The record is from RNAcentral.